AUAUUGCCCAAUGGACGCAAGUCUGAGGCAGCAACGCCGCGUGGGCGAUGAAGGCCUUCGGGUUGUAAAGCCCUUUUCUGGGGGAAGAGGAAGGACGGUACCUCAGGAAUAAGUCACGGCUAACUACGUGCCAGCCGCCGCGGUAAUACGUAGGUGGUAAGCGUUAUCCGGAUUCACUGGGCGUAAAGCGCGUGCAGGCGGUUUCGUAAGUCGGACGUGAAAGCUCCUGGCUUAACUGGGAGAGGUCGUUCGAUACUGCGGGGCUUGGGGUGGGGAGAGUGACGUGGAAUUCCCGGUGUAGUGGUGGAAUGCGUAGAUAUCGGGAGGAACACCAGUGGCGAAGGCGACGUCCUGGCCCGCACCUGACGCUGAGACGCGAAAGCGUGGGUAGCGAACGG
RNAcentral lists this ribosomal RNA (398 nucleotides) under uncultured bacterium. RNAcentral's name for it is "bacterial SSU rRNA". It matches the Rfam family "Bacterial small subunit ribosomal RNA", at positions 361 to 775 of the family's 1533-position model. The record is from RNAcentral.